This 162-nucleotide ribosomal RNA is filed under the name uncultured bacterium. RNAcentral describes it as "partial 16S rRNA". It matches the Rfam family "Bacterial small subunit ribosomal RNA", at positions 355 to 508 of the family's 1533-position model. The record is from RNAcentral.
UAGGGAAUCUUCGGCAAUGGGGGCAACCCUGACCGAGCAACGCCGCGUGAGUGAAGAAGGUUUUCGGAUCGUAAAGCUCUGUUGUAAGAGAAGAACGUGUGUGAGAGUGGAAAGUUCACACAGUGACGGUAACUUACCAGAAAGGGACGGCUAACUACGUGC